AUUUCACCUAGUUUGUUAAUAAAUUUAGCCAUUGUCUUCCGUGUAUCCACAUUCUGAUGAUACAACAAAUUGUCAAUAAGUAGGUCGAAAGCAUAGGUGAAUGAUUUUACUUGUAGAACAAUGAAUCGAGAAAUAGACGUAGUACAAGUUACA
Molecule: long non-coding RNA, 153 nt
Organism: Coccinella septempunctata (seven-spotted ladybird)
Lineage: Eukaryota; Metazoa; Arthropoda; Insecta; Coleoptera; Coccinellidae
Exons: 2
Source: RefSeq, a predicted model, not a curated record